GGGGAGGUACUGAGUAACGGCAUAAAAAAUGUCAGGAAAGUCUACCCACCGCAUAAAAGCAACUCGUGUUAUGCGAGGCCUGGUAACAGGCGGCAACAUCACAGAAACGAACCACUUGCAAGGAGGAUGAAAACCUUAAAGUCUUGGCGACAAGAUGUGCAAAAGGAAGACGUUCUUGCAAGAAAGGGUGAAACGGAUAGACCUUGCUGGUGCAAGCCCAAAAAGGACGCUAAGUAGAAUACUCAGACAGCUCAUCCAAAACUUGUUAAAAUCAAGCAUGGGUGCUGACAGAAGGUAGCUUAAACCUGCCC
Molecule: RNase P RNA, 311 nt
Filed under: Candidatus Woesearchaeota archaeon
Lineage: Archaea; Nanobdellati; Candidatus Woesearchaeota
Description: RNase P RNA component
Rfam family: Archaeal RNase P
About the family: Ribonuclease P (RNase P) is a ubiquitous endoribonuclease, found in archaea, bacteria and eukarya as well as chloroplasts and mitochondria.
Source: RNAcentral